UAAGCGGCAGCUUUAACAUGCAAGUCGACGGCAGCGCGAGAGAGCUUGCUCUCUUGGCGGCGAGUGGCGGACGGGUGAGUAAUAUAUCGGAACGUGCCCAGUAGCGGGGGAUAACUACUCGAAAGAGGCUAAUACCGCAUACGCCCUACGGGGGAAAGGGGGGGAUCGCAAGACCUCUCACUAUUGGAGCGGCCGAUAUCGGAUUAGCUAGUUGGUGGGGUAAAGGCUCACCAAGGCAACGAUCCGUAGCUGGUGAGAGGACGACCAGCCACACUGGGACUGAGACACGGCCCAGACUCCUACGGGAGGCAGCAGUGGGGAAUUUUGGACAAUGGGGGAAACCCUGAUCCAGCCAUCCCGCGUGUAUGAUGAAGGCCUUGGUUGUAAAGUACUUUUGGCAGAGAAGAAAAGGUAUCCCCUAAUACGGGAUACUGCUGACGGUAUCUGCAGAAUAAGCACCGGCUAACUACGUGCCAGCAGCCGCGGUAAUACGUAGGGUGCAAGCUUAUCGGAAUUACUGGGCGUAAAGCGUGUGUAGGCGGUUCGGAAAGAAAGAUGUGAAAUCCCAGGGCUCAACCUUGGAACUGCAUUUUUAACUGCCGAGCUAGAGUAUGUCAGAGGGGGGUAGAAUCCACUGUAGCAGUGAAAUGCGUAGAUAUGUGGAGGAAUACCGAUGGCGAAGGCAGCCCCCUGGGAUAAUACUGACGCUCAGACACGAAAGCGUGGGGAGCAAACAGGAUUAGAUACCCUGGUAGUCACGCCUAAACGAUGUCAACUAGCUGUUGGGGCCGUUAGGCCUUAGUAGCGCAGCUAACGCGUGAAGUUGACCGCCUGGGGAGUACGGUCGCAAGAUUAAAACUCAAAGGAAUUGACGGGGACCCGCCAAGCGUGGAUGAUGUGGAUUAAUUCGAUGCAACGCGAAAAACCUUACCUACCCUUGACAUGUCUGGAAAGCCGAAGAGAUUUGGCCGUGCUCGCAAGAGAACCGGAACACAGGUGCUGCAUGGCUUCGUCAGUCGUGUCGUGAGAUGUUGGGUUAAGUCCCGCAACGAGCGCAACCCUUGUCAUUAGUUGCUACGCAAGAGCACUCUAAUGAGACUGCCGGUGACAAACCGGAGGAAGGUGGGGAUGACGUAAGUCCUCUGGCCCUUAUGGGUAGGGCUUCACACGUCAUACAAUGGUCGGGACAGAGGGUCGCCAACCCGCGAGGGGGAGCCAAUCUCAGAAACCCGAUCGUAGUCCGGAUCGCAGUCUGCAACUCACUGCGUGAGUCGGAAUCGCUAGUAAUCGCGGAUCAGAAUGUCGCGGUGAAUACGUUCCCGGGUCUUGUACACACCGCCCGUCACACCAUGGGAGUGGGUUUCACCAGAAGUAGGUAGCCUAACCGAAGGAGGGCGUUACCACGGUGGGAUUCAUGACUGGGGUGAAGUCGUAACAACGAGCCGUUG
RNAcentral lists this ribosomal RNA (1448 nucleotides) under Alcaligenes faecalis. RNAcentral's name for it is "bacterial SSU rRNA". It matches the Rfam family "Bacterial small subunit ribosomal RNA". Lineage: Bacteria; Pseudomonadati; Pseudomonadota; Betaproteobacteria; Burkholderiales; Alcaligenaceae. The record is from RNAcentral.